UACGUAGGGUGCAAGCGUUGUUCGGAAUCACUGGGCGUAAAGGGAGCGCAGGCGGGAGAAUAAGUUAGGAGUGAAAUGUAUGGGCUCAACCCAUAAUCUGCUCUUAAUACUGUUCUUCUUGAGUAUGGGAGAGGAAGAUGGAAUUCCAGGUGUAGCGGUGGAAUGCGUAGAUAUCUGGAAGAACACCAGUUGCGAAGGCGGUCUUCUGGCCCAAUACUGACGCUCAGGCUCGAAAGCUAGGGGAG
Molecule: ribosomal RNA, 245 nt
Filed under: uncultured bacterium
Lineage: Bacteria
Description: partial 16S ribosomal RNA
Rfam family: Bacterial small subunit ribosomal RNA
Source: RNAcentral